UGCUGACCAAACAAAACACUUUUAAAUUUACUUAGAAUUUGGUCAGGGGAAGGAAGCCAAAGGCAAUGAGAUAGCAAAGCAAAAAGCUGCAGCCAAGGCAAGUCCUUAAAGGCUCCUUAGGAGACUGUGCGUCUAAAUGAGACAGCAUCUGAGGAAAACUGACUAACUAGAAACCCUGACCUCUCAUUAAGUAAACUAAACAGGAAGACAAGUCAUAGGGGACAGUUCAUUUGAAAAAGAGAAAAGGACAAAAUGAAGAAACAGAAAAAGGUUCUGACCAUUGGCUUGAAAAUGUUGAUGAAACAACGGAUUUCAAUUCUUCUCAAAGCUGCUGCCACCCUUUCCUGUCAGUACACAUAAGAGUUAUUUAUAAUAAUUCAAUUUCAAGGUUUUUUUUGAGCUUUGUAAUACAAAAGUAUGUAAGAACCUAAUUUACAAUUUCUUAAACUUAAUUACAUUUAAAGACAUAACAGUUGCAGCAGAAUAAAAUCAUUCCCAUAGUGGGAUAAUUCUGGGGAAGAGGUAUUCAA
Molecule: long non-coding RNA, 530 nt
Organism: Polypterus senegalus (gray bichir)
Lineage: Eukaryota; Metazoa; Chordata; Cladistia; Polypteriformes; Polypteridae
Exons: 2
Source: RefSeq, a predicted model, not a curated record